AUUGAACGCUGGCGGCAGGCCUAACACAUGCAAGUCGAGCGGAUGAAGGGAGCUUGCUCCUGGAUUCAGCGGCGGACGGGUGAGUAAUGCCUAGGAAUCUGCCUGGUAGUGGGGGAUAACGUCUGGAAACGGGCGCUAAUACCGCAUACAUCCUGAGGGAGAAAGUGGGGGAUCUUCGGACCUCACGCUAUCAGAUGAGCCUAGGUCGGAUUAGCUAGUUGGUGGGGUAAAGGCCUACCAAGGCGACGAUCCGUAACUGGUCUGAGAGGAUGAUCAGUCACACUGGAACUGAGACACGGUCCAGACUCCUACGGGAGGCAGCAGUGGGGAAUAUUGGACAAUGGGCGAAAGCCUGAUCCAGCCAUGCCGCGUGUGUGAAGAAGGUCUUCGGAUUGUAAAGCACUUUAAGUUGGGAGGAAGGGCAGUAAGUUAAUACCUUGCUGUUUUGACGUUACCAACAGAAUAAGCACCGGCUAACUUCGUG
Molecule: ribosomal RNA, 484 nt
Filed under: uncultured bacterium
Lineage: Bacteria
Description: partial 16S ribosomal RNA
Rfam family: Bacterial small subunit ribosomal RNA
Source: RNAcentral